GAUGAACGCUGGCGGCGUGCUUAACACAUGCAAGUCGAACGGUGAAGCAGAGCUUGCUCUGUGGAUCAGUUGCGAACGGGUGAGUAACACAUGAGCAACCUGCCCCUGACUCUGGGUUAAGCGCUGGAAACGGCGUCGAAUACAGGAUAGGAGCUGUAAUCGCAUGGUUAGCUGAUUGGAAGAAUUGGGGGUCUGGGAUGGUCUCACGUCCUAUCAGCUUGUUGUAGAGGUUAUGGCUGACCAAGGCGUCGACGGGUAGCCGGCCUGGGAGGGUGACCGGCCACACUGGGACUGCGACAGGGCCCAGAAUCCUACGGGAGGCAGCAGUGGGGAAUAUUGCGCAAUGGGCGAAAGCCUGAUGCAGCAACGCCGCGUGAGGGAUGACGGCCUUCGGGUUGUAAACCUCUUUUAGCAGGGAAGAAGAGAAAGUGACGGUACCUGCAGAGAAAGCGCCGGCUAACUACGUG
This 467-nucleotide ribosomal RNA is filed under the name uncultured bacterium. RNAcentral's name for it is "partial 16S ribosomal RNA". It matches the Rfam family "Bacterial small subunit ribosomal RNA", at positions 28 to 507 of the family's 1533-position model. The record is from RNAcentral.